RNAcentral lists this non-coding RNA (425 nucleotides) under Salinivibrio sp. KP-1. Its description in RNAcentral is "Bacterial small subunit ribosomal RNA". It matches the Rfam family "Bacterial small subunit ribosomal RNA", at positions 1 to 410 of the family's 1533-position model. Lineage: Bacteria; Pseudomonadati; Pseudomonadota; Gammaproteobacteria; Vibrionales; Vibrionaceae. The record is from Rfam by way of RNAcentral.
AAAUUGAAGAGUUUGAUCAUGGCUCAGAUUGAACGCUGGCGGCAGGCCUAACACAUGCAAGUCGAGCGGAAACGGCAGUAUUGAAGCUUCGGUGGAUUUACUGGACGUCGAGCGGCGGACGGGUGAGUAACGGCUGGGAACCUGCCCUGACGAGGGGGAUAACCGUUGGAAACGACGGCUAAUACCGCAUAAUGUCUACGGACCAAAGGUGGCCUCUGCAUGUAAGCUAUCGCGUUGGGAUGGGCCCAGUUAGGAUUAGCUAGUUGGUAAGGUAAUGGCUUACCAAGGCGACGAUCCUUAGCUGGUUUGAGAGGAUGAUCAGCCACACUGGGACUGAGACACGGCCCAGACUCCUACGGGAGGCAGCAGUGGGGAAUAUUGCACAAUGGGGGAGACCCUGAUGCAGCCAUGCCGCGUGUGUGAAG